Molecule: non-coding RNA, 69 nt
Filed under: Paenibacillus sp.
Lineage: Bacteria; Bacillati; Bacillota; Bacilli; Caryophanales; Paenibacillaceae
Description: 55-dG-II sequence
Rfam family: 2dG-II purine riboswitch aptamer
About the family: Purine riboswitch variant that recognize 2'-deoxyguanosine
Source: RNAcentral
UUUUCGUAUAAUCCCGGGGAUUGGCCCGGGAGUCUCUACAAGGUCACCGUAAUGAUCUGGCUACGAAAA